CCUACGGGUGGCAGCAGUGAGGAAUAUUGGUCAAUGGACGCGAGUCUGAACCAGCCAAGCCGCGUGCAGGAAGACGGCGCUAUGCGUUGUAAACUUCUUUUGUACGGGGAUAAACGCAGAUACGUGUAUCUUUCUGAAUGUAUCGUACGAAUAAGCAUCGGCUAACUCCGUGCCAGCAGCCGCGGUAAUACGGAGGAUUCAAGCGUUAUCCGGAUUUAUUGGGUUUAAAGGGUGCGUAGGCGGUCGGAGAAGUUAGAGGUGAAAUCCCGAGGCUCAACCUCGGAAUUGCCUAUGAUACUGUUCGGCUAGAGAGUAGUGGAGGUAGGCGGAAUGCAUGGUGUAGCGGUGAAAUGCUUAGAGAUCACACAGAACACCGAUUGCGAAGGCAGCUUACCAAGCUACUUCUGACGCUGAUGCGCGAAAGCGUGGGGAGCAAACAGGAUUAGAUACCCGGGUAGUC
RNAcentral lists this ribosomal RNA (460 nucleotides) under uncultured bacterium. RNAcentral describes it as "partial 16S ribosomal RNA". It matches the Rfam family "Bacterial small subunit ribosomal RNA", at positions 338 to 795 of the family's 1533-position model. The record is from RNAcentral.